GUUCUAGAAUGGAGGGCCGAUUUAGAUUGGAUACUUGUGAGGAAUUAUUGACCUCAGCCUCAACUUGGCCUCGACUUCCAAGGUUGAGGAAGACAAAAUGGUCAUAAGAUCCCAAUUGCCUUGGUCUUGACCUUCCAAGGCGAGGUAGGUGAAAUGGUCGCGACAGCCCAUUUGGCCAUGGCCUCGGCCUUUAAGGCCAAGAUGGGCAAAAUAGGCAUGGUCCAAAUUUUCUUUUCUCCCUCAAACUCUCGCCCGCUUCCUACUAGUUUUCAGUCGGUUUUUGGGAUAAGUUUCAGAAGAAAUGUUCUUUAAGGGAAUUGCAGAGAUUGGAUUCGAGAUUCCAAUUUUAGGGCUUGAUCUUUUCAGACCUCUUGAGAAACCUGCGACUCUUCCAUCUUUUCCCUCAACUGAUUUAACAUCUCCUGCAUUGUGACCAUUGAUCCCUUUCAGCUUUAACUUGCUCUGGGUUUCUUCGAAUUAUCGCCUUGCAAUGCCCUAAACAUCGAUUCUGUUCAUGUGACGUUGAGUCCUAAAGAUUAAAUAACGCAUAAUCCCUGUGUUACAGAGAUUUGUAUUCUAUUCAAAUUUGGUUUAUCUUGAUCACUUGUAAUGAGAAAUUUUACCAGAUUCUAUAGGUGUUUCGGCAUGGAACAAUUCAAAUGUUCAGUUCCUUAAAACCUGAAA
Benincasa hispida (wax gourd) is the source of this 684-nucleotide long non-coding RNA. RefSeq lists it as uncharacterized. Lineage: Eukaryota; Viridiplantae; Streptophyta; Magnoliopsida; Cucurbitales; Cucurbitaceae. The record is from RefSeq and is a predicted model, not a curated record.